GGCAUUGUGGCUGAGUGGCUAGGCUAGGCCCCGCAAGGGCUUAUACAGUGGUUCGAUUCCAUUCGAUGCCU
This 71-nucleotide transfer RNA is filed under the name Maribacter luteus. It matches the Rfam family "tRNA". From Rfam's summary of the family: Transfer RNA (tRNA) molecules are approximately 80 nucleotides in length. Lineage: Bacteria; Pseudomonadati; Bacteroidota; Flavobacteriia; Flavobacteriales; Flavobacteriaceae. The record is from Rfam by way of RNAcentral. RNAcentral also lists the same sequence under 1 other name.